Molecule: long non-coding RNA, 1214 nt
Organism: Amphiprion ocellaris (clown anemonefish)
Lineage: Eukaryota; Metazoa; Chordata; Actinopteri; Pomacentridae
Source: Ensembl
CUACAUUCAGUCUGAGAUAUUAAGAAUAAAUAAAUGUGCAUAAUGUUGAAAUGAAAAGAUUUCAUUUUUAUUUAUUCCUACAGCUGGUGCUGGUAAAGUUCCAGAAUGUGGAGGAAUUUAGUCUCACAAUCACAGACAAUAAAUAUUAUCUGAAAGUCUGGUGAUUGUUGUUUAUCAGCACAAUACAAAAAGAUUCAUGUUAGACAUAUUCCAGUUAAGACUCUAGAAUAUCAUGAUUUAUGUAAAUUUACCUCAAUAAUAUGAAUGUUCAGGUUAAGAUUGUGCAGUGAUAUUUAUUAUGUAAGUUUAGCUGAUUAAAGUUUAUGACUCUGCACUACAAUAUUAUUUAUUAUUAAAAUUAACAUCAUUAUUAUAAUAUUUAGGGUCAGACCCUACAGUAUUGAGAUUAAGAAAUCGUUCUAUAAAUUUUCUAUAAAAUGUAAGUACACUGAACUCAUUUGGAUAUAUUCGAGACUCUACAAUAUUAUUUGACACAAAUCUAUCUAAAUCCAAAUUUUAAUCAUUUUUACUCCAAACAUGUACUAGACUGAUUUAAAUAUUAAAAUCACUCCUUUCUAAUCCUCUGCUGUACGUUCAAACCUGAUGCCUUAAAUAGAAACAAGUAUCUGAUUGAAGGAACUUCUGCAGAGUCCUGGUUCCAGAACAUGAUGAUAGAAUUAUAGACAAACUUUAACAAAAGCUGCCUGAGAGUUUACAGGUUUUUAUGUUAGAUUUCUUCAGUAAUUUAAUGAGUUAUCAGCAAAAAUCAAGUGUUCAUUUGAUGAACUUCAUUUCCUUAAACAUCCAGAAUUGGAGCUCAUAUCUUUGGCAGCUGUAAAGUUUCUGCUCCUUCAAAGUUCACAACACAAUGAAUGAAUUCCUAAAACACUCUCAAUGCUGGAGAGCGUUUGAUGCUGAAGCAGUGAUCAGUUUUUCUGUUUCUUCUCUGGAGAUGCACAAUGAGGGAUGUCUGCAGAGACUGAGAAAGAGUCUCACCACAUCCUGACAUGAGGAAAAAGACUUUACUGAAGACUACAAUGAGAAAAACUAUCAGACAGCAGACGGCUGCAUUCAAGUCUGUAGCUGCUGAAUUCAUGGAUGAAUCAUCUGGCACUAGAGAGGAAGACCAUCAAACAUCCACGUCAGCUGAUGGAGGUCCAAGAGUCUCACCCAACAAACAACCUACAGAGUGAAGACCUCCAAUCUGAUUGGAC